This 2895-nucleotide ribosomal RNA is filed under the name Escherichia coli. RNAcentral describes it as "bacterial LSU rRNA". It matches the Rfam family "Bacterial large subunit ribosomal RNA". The record is from RNAcentral. Lineage: Bacteria; Pseudomonadati; Pseudomonadota; Gammaproteobacteria; Enterobacterales; Enterobacteriaceae.
UUAAGCGACUAAGCGUACACGGUGGAUGCCCUGGCAGUCAGAGGCGAUGAAGGACGUGCUAAUCUGCGAUAAGCGUCGGUAAGGUGAUAUGAACCGUUAUAACCGGCGAUUUCCGAAUGGGGAAACCCAGUGUGAUUCGUCACACUAUCAUUAACUGAAUCCAUAGGUUAAUGAGGCGAACCGGGGGAACUGAAACAUCUAAGUACCCCGAGGAAAAGAAAUCAACCGAGAUUCCCCCAGUAGCGGCGAGCGAACGGGGAGCAGCCCAGAGCCUGAAUCAGUGUGUGUGUUAGUGGAAGCGUCUGGAAAGGCGCGCGAUACAGGGUGACAGCCCCGUACACAAAAAUGCACAUGCUGUGAGCUCGAUGAGUAGGGCGGGACACGUGGUAUCCUGUCUGAAUAUGGGGGGACCAUCCUCCAAGGCUAAAUACUCCUGACUGACCGAUAGUGAACCAGUACCGUGAGGGAAAGGCGAAAAGAACCCCGGCGAGGGGAGUGAAAAAGAACCUGAAACCGUGUACGUACAAGCAGUGGGAGCACNGUGUGACUGCGUACCUUUUGUAUAAUGGGUCAGCGACUUAUAUUCUGUAGCAAGGUUAACCGAAUAGGGGAGCCGAAGGGAAACCGAGUCUUAACUGGGCGUUAAGUUGCAGGGUAUAGACCCGAAACCCGGUGAUCUAGCCAUGGGCAGGUUGAAGGUUGGGUAACACUAACUGGAGGACCGAACCGACUAAUGUUGAAAAAUUAGCGGAUGACUUGUGGCUGGGGGUGAAAGGCCAAUCAAACCGGGAGAUAGCUGGUUCUCCCCGAAAGCUAUUUAGGUAGCGCCUCGUGAAUUCAUCUCCGGGGGUAGAGCACUGUUUCGGCAAGGGGGUCAUCCCGACUUACCAACCCGAUGCAAACUGCGAAUACCGGAGAAUGUUAUCACGGGAGACACACGGCGGGUGCUAACGUCCGUCGUGAAGAGGGAAACAACCCAGACCGCCAGCUAAGGUCCCAAAGUCAUGGUUAAGUGGGAAACGAUGUGGGAAGGCCCAGACAGCCAGGAUGUUGGCUUAGAAGCAGCCAUCAUUUAAAGAAAGCGUAAUAGCUCACUGGUCGAGUCGGCCUGCGCGGAAGAUGUAACGGGGCUAAACCAUGCACCGAAGCUGCGGCAGCGACGCUUAUGCGUUGUUGGGUAGGGGAGCGUUCUGUAAGCCUGCGAAGGUGUGCUGUGAGGCAUGCUGGAGGUAUCAGAAGUGCGAAUGCUGACAUAAGUAACGAUAAAGCGGGUGAAAAGCCCGCUCGCCGGAAGACCAAGGGUUCCUGUCCAACGUUAAUCGGGGCAGGGUGAGUCGACCCCUAAGGCGAGGCCGAAAGGCGUAGUCGAUGGGAAACAGGUUAAUAUUCCUGUACUUGGUGUUACUGCGAAGGGGGGACGGAGAAGGCUAUGUUGGCCGGGCGACGGUUGUCCCGGUUUAAGCGUGUAGGCUGGUUUUCCAGGCAAAUCCGGAAAAUCAAGGCUGAGGCGUGAUGACGAGGCACUACGGUGCUGAAGCAACAAAUGCCCUGCUUCCAGGAAAAGCCUCUAAGCAUCAGGUAACAUCAAAUCGUACCCCAAACCGACACAGGUGGUCAGGUAGAGAAUACCAAGGCGCUUGAGAGAACUCGGGUGAAGGAACUAGGCAAAAUGGUGCCGUAACUUCGGGAGAAGGCACGCUGAUAUGUAGGUGAAGUCCCUCGCGGAUGGAGCUGAAAUCAGUCGAAGAUACCAGCUGGCUGCAACUGUUUAUUAAAAACACAGCACUGUGCAAACACGAAAGUGGACGUAUACGGUGUGACGCCUGCCCGGUGCCGGAAGGUUAAUUGAUGGGGUUAGCGCAAGCGAAGCUCUUGAUCGAAGCCCCGGUAAACGGCGGCCGUAACUAUAACGGUCCUAAGGUAGCGAAAUUCCUUGUCGGGUAAGUUCCGACCUGCACGAAUGGCGUAAUGAUGGCCAGGCUGUCUCCACCCGAGACUCAGUGAAAUUGAACUCGCUGUGAAGAUGCAGUGUACCCGCGGCAAGACGGAAAGACCCCGUGAACCUUUACUAUAGCUUGACACUGAACAUUGAGCCUUGAUGUGUAGGAUAGGUGGGAGGCUUUGAAGUGUGGACGCCAGUCUGCAUGGAGCCGACCUUGAAAUACCACCCUUUAAUGUUUGAUGUUCUAACGUGGACCCGUAAUCCGGGUUGCGGACAGUGUCUGGUGGGUAGUUUGACUGGGGCGGUCUCCUCCUAAAGAGUAACGGAGGAGCACGAAGGUUGGCUAAUCCUGGUCGGACAUCAGGAGGUUAGUGCAAUGGCAUAAGCCAGCUUGACUGCGAGCGUGACGGCGCGAGCAGGUGCGAAAGCAGGUCAUAGUGAUCCGGUGGUUCUGAAUGGAAGGGCCAUCGCUCAACGGAUAAAAGGUACUCCGGGGAUAACAGGCUGAUACCGCCCAAGAGUUCAUAUCGACGGCGGUGUUUGGCACCUCGAUGUCGGCUCAUCACAUCCUGGGGCUGAAGUAGGUCCCAAGGGUAUGGCUGUUCGCCAUUUAAAGUGGUACGCGAGCUGGGUUUAGAACGUCGUGAGACAGUUCGGUCCCUAUCUGCCGUGGGCGCUGGAGAAUUGAGGGGGGCUGCUCCUAGUACGAGAGGACCGGAGUGGACGCAUCACUGGUGUUCGGGUUGUCAUGCCAAUGGCACUGCCCGGUAGCUAAAUGCGGAAGAGAUAAGUGCUGAAAGCAUCUAAGCACGAAACUUGCCCCGAGAUGAGUUCUCCCUGACUCCUUGAGAGUCCUGAAGGAACGUUGAAGACGACGACGUUGAUAGGCCGGGUGUGUAAGCGCAGCGAUGCGUUGAGCUAACCGGUACUAAUGAACCGUGAGGCUUAACCUU